GGGCCCGCACAAGCGGAGGAACAUGUGGUUUAAUUCGAUGAUACGCGAGGAACCUUACCCGGGCUUGAAUUGCAGGUGAAUGCGAUAGAGAUAUCAAAGUCCUUCGGGACACCUGUGAAGGUGCUGCAUGGUUGUCGUCAGCUCGUGCCGUGAGGUGUCGGCUUAAGUGCCAUAACGAGCGCAACCCCUCUCUUCAGUUGCCAUCAGUUUAAGCUGGGCACUCUGGAGACACUGCCACCGUAAGGUGUGAGGAAGGUGGGGAUGACGUCAAAUCAGCACGGCCCUUACGUCCGGGGCUACACACGUGUUACAAUGGGGAGUACAGAGAGUCGGGGUCCCGCAAGGUCCCCCUAAUCAAGAAAGCUCCUCCCAGUUCGGACUGGGGUCUGCAACCCGACCCCACGAAGCUGGAUUCGCUAGUAAUCGCGCAUCAGCCAUGGCGCGGUGAAUACGUUCCCGGGCCUU
RNAcentral lists this ribosomal RNA (465 nucleotides) under uncultured bacterium. Its description in RNAcentral is "bacterial SSU rRNA". It matches the Rfam family "Bacterial small subunit ribosomal RNA", at positions 917 to 1382 of the family's 1533-position model. The record is from RNAcentral.